RNAcentral lists this ribosomal RNA (301 nucleotides) under uncultured bacterium. RNAcentral describes it as "partial 16S ribosomal RNA". It matches the Rfam family "Bacterial small subunit ribosomal RNA", at positions 509 to 807 of the family's 1533-position model. The record is from RNAcentral.
CAGCCGCCGCGGGAACACGGAGGGAGCUAGCGUUGUUCGAAAUUACUGGGCGUAAAGCGCACGUAGGCGGCUUUGUAAGUCAGAGGUGAAAGCCUGGAGCUCAACUCCAGAACUGCCUUUGAGACUGCAUCGCUUGAAUCCAGGAGAGGUGAGUGGAAUUCCGAGUGUAGAGGUGAAAUUCGUAGAUAUUCGGAAGAACACCAGUGGCGAAGGCGGCUCACUGGACUGGUAUUGACGCUGAGGUGCGAAAGCAUGGGGAGCAAACAGGAUUAGAUACCCGCGUAGUCCCUGUCUCUUAUAC